This 250-nucleotide long non-coding RNA is filed under the name Lathyrus oleraceus (garden pea). RNAcentral's name for it is "Pisum sativum (pea) long non-coding RNA (PSAT_LNC015831)". Lineage: Eukaryota; Viridiplantae; Streptophyta; Magnoliopsida; Fabales; Fabaceae. The record is from RNAcentral.
UCCCUUCAAACCAUCCACACACCUUCCCUAUAAAUAGGGGAAGGUGUCUCAUUCAUUUUACACGCUGAAAAAGGCCUAUAACCCCUUAUGCAUAUUGCAUUCAAAGCUUCAAAAAUAGAAAUCAUGUUUCUUAGUUUCAGAGAGUUUCAACCUGAAAUAACCACCCAUAAACCUUCACUAACCUUCACUCAAGUUAUUCCAAUCCCUAACUCAUUCUCCCCAAGCCUCAUUUGAGCUAAGCUCAGUCGUC